Molecule: long non-coding RNA, 3408 nt
Filed under: Microcebus murinus (gray mouse lemur)
Lineage: Eukaryota; Metazoa; Chordata; Mammalia; Primates; Cheirogaleidae
Description: lncRNA (ENSMICG00000048394.1)
Source: RNAcentral
GUGCUAUUUUUUUUUCUUUUUCUUUUUUUUUAAUUAUUGUGGCAAAAGGCACAUAACAUGAGAUCUACCCUGUUAGCAAAUUUUUGAGUGUACAGUUUGGUAUUAUUACCUAUAAGUACAAUCCUGUUCGACAGGUCUCUGGAACUUUCUGACCUUGCAUGAUGGAAACUCUGGACCUACGGAACAGCAAUUCUCCAUUUCCUCUCCCCCAGCACCUUUGAGAAUGUGCUAUUUUCUGAUAUUCAUAGCUUUAGGAAAGAUCUUCAUAUUAACAAUAUUUUAAAGUGCAGGAUUCCAGCAACUUGGGGUGGGGUUGGGGUGUCAGACUUCUUCCUUGCUGCUCCCUCCCUCACAGGAUCCGGCGGGGGCUGCUGUCCCCACAGGGUCUCUGGCUGAACGUGAAGCAUGGCGCUACUUUACCCAUAGCUGGGCAAGCCACGAUUCUCACUGAUCCCUGGUCAAUGCUGCAUUCAACAAUUGGGGUUAAUGAUUAAGCAAAGUUAAGAGAAUUAAGCAUGGCUUUCUGCUUCCUAUUUUUUCCCCACCAUGCGCAGAGGUUAUCUAGGGCAACCGGUGAUAAGAGGCCAAACUCCGUCCACUCCCCGCAGACCUCCUCAUCUGCGAAACGCCACGUCAUCAGGCCACCCACCAAAACAACUUACGGCAGGCAGGAAGUAGAGGAGCGGUGAGCAGACGGCUGUGUUUCUCUUUUAGGGGCAGCGUCCUACCCACUACCAGUGCCUGGCCCGAGAGCGUAACCCCUGCACUGGCACGUCAGCCGGCGUGGCAGGGGUGGGGCGGCUCGGCACAGACCUCGGGGAAGAACACGAAUGGGUCCCUGCCUCAAAUCUUGUUACGGACAAGGAUGAAGGGGAUGAAGAAGAUAAAAGUAUGCUGCAAAAUUAGAGGCAAAUACUUCACCCCGUGGAGUCCAUAUGUAUAUACACAGAAGCAGUGCUGCAACACAGGGAUGCACGCCUUCCCGGUUCGCAGAGUGCUUGCCGCUGAUAACCUGACACCAUCCUAACAGACAUGUAAGCAAGACUCCUGGUGACCGGGAAGGGCAGUAUGGGAACACGACUGGAGUAAUCAAGCUGGCCUACAGCGCAGAAAUCUCCGGCGGAUUUUAUAUUCCAAAGGAAUCUUGAGGAUAAAACCGAAGAAAGUAUUUUUCUUUCUCUUAGGAAAGAGAGGGCAGAUCUUUCCUUAAUUUUUUAGUAUUGAUGCCUUAGGAACUAUUUCAUGUUAAAAAAAUGCUACCCCAUUUCAAAGAAUUGAAUAUUUACAAAUAUCUAAUAUUUACCUUUUCAAUUUUUAAUAAAGUGUUUAACCACCUGAUUGUAAAUGGCCAUCUAUUGAAGUUCUACUUUUGAUCCUACAAUUGGGGGUGAAAAUUCCCAUGGACAAGUCUCUUCGGGACAAGGGUAUAUGUAUUAUUACAGAGAUAUGAAAUCUUUCUCAAUAUUUGCCUCCUGCAUUAAUUCAACAAAUUUUUAUUACUAAAAACCUACUAUGUACAAGGUAUUUCCUUAAUUUCCCAGUCACUUAAAGAAGCACAGGUCUUUGUCUCUAGCCUUGGAGAGAAUUUUCAUGCAAUCCCUAAAACCACACCAAGGAAGACCAGGGAGAAGGCAGAGGCUGCUAGACAAAAGGACAAAGACCUCAAGAGUGAAGGGGGCAUGUUGAAUUUAGAUCUGAAGGGAGUCAGUCCAAAUCUGUCACUCUAGUUACGAAGAAAUGGAAGCAGAGAGAAGCUAAAGGAUUUAUCUAGAAUGCACUAAAUAGAGUGAGGAUGCACUAGCAGCAGAAGUUUUGGGGGGGUUUGCAAUGGCCCUGGAAACUGUAGUUGGAGAAGAACACUGACAUGCGCAAAAGAGGACUGGACAUGGAUUCAUCAGCAAACAGCCCGGCCUCUGUCUCUUCACUCUCGGAGCCCAACGGGUCCCUUCGGCGCUUCCCCAGGCUGGACGUGGAGACCUCCCUCGCAUAAGCCUUGGCACGUGUGGAUGCCAUGAGAUCUGCUGUGGCUUUUGCUCAUUUGGGGCACUUUGUCUCUAACUGACUGAAAUUGAUGAUUCCUCCUUGUUUAUAUCUAACACUCUCGCCUUCAUCAAAUGGCUAUCAGCAAACGCAGUUUUAAUCAGGACAUUCUCCAACUCACCAAACACACGCACACACAACUCUAAAGAUUUAUAUUGUCAACAAUAAAUUUCAACUUUCUUUGCUAGCCAUUCAAGAGCUCUGCAAUUUAGUCUCAAAUCCCAUGUCUGCCUUAUCAAAUUGACAUACCUAUGUGACUUUUAUUCUGUUCAGGACUAAAAAAGUGACCCCCUGCUGGUUCUAUUAGGCUGCUUUCUAUCUUUUCUUUUGUUCCAGACAUUUUGCCUACCUGCAUCACCUUUUCUCUUCUUACCAAUUUCUGUCAACAUUUUACCACUCUUGCAACCACAACGUGAGCACCAGCCUUCUUUACAGAACUUCUGUGAAUCCCUGUCCCCUUCUGAGCCGUUACCUGUGGUGCGUGUGACUAUGUUGCUUUAAAGCCACUGGCCACACUCUUUGGCGUAUUGGAAUUAUUUAGGGGCUCAUGCGGGAAACCUCCAAACUAUGAAUCAGGUCUAAUCACAAAAACUUACAUGCAGGAUAGGAUGUAGCUCCCCAAACAAAACUUUUUUGAAAGACUGAUUGAUUAAAUGAAUUAAAAUACUUGCCACUCUAUGUUCCCUUUCUCAGUUCUUUGUACACAGGUUAAAUAAAACUUCCACUGAGAUGUGAUCAUAGAGGGCUAAUAUAAGGCAUAUGGAUGCAGUUCUUUUAUUUGGAUGUAUAAUUAUUGAGAAGUAGAUUUCAAUAAUAUUAUAAUAAAUCAUAAUUAUUUUCUGGCCAUUAGUCUACAAAAUGAAAGAUUUUAUUUUUUGAAUGUACAUUAUGAUGGGGGGAAAAGCCUUUUGAAUAAUUUUAAACCUCUCUUUCUAAAACCUAUAUCAAGACAUUAAAAGAACUUGUAACCCAAGUUAACAACCCCCCAAUUUUCAGGGCCACUGUUUAAAAGUGGGUUUCAAUAAUUGCCUUGCUUCUUUCACUUGAAGCUAAAUAACACGAGAAAACAUACUAGAAGAAACCAAAUGUUCAGUCACUGGAAAUAACCUUUACCAUAAAAAAAUAACAUAAAAGCUUAAGGGUAAAUUUAUUCCUCAUCUCAGGAACUAGAAAUCCAGUUUCAAAUGUACACAGUAGUUUCAAGCUCUGCUGAGCCAGAGUUAUCCCAUUAAUUAUGGAUGACAUUAUGUUUUAAACAAAUACAAAUUGUUUUGCCCUCACCUUUAGAUGCUCCUGAAGCAAAUGUUUUAUUCCCAGCGAGAAUCAUUUUGCACAGCUCAGGUCCUUGAAUUAUUAGAAAAACUGCAG